AUUGAACGCUGGCGGCAGGCCUAACACAUGCAAGUCGAGCGGAUGAAGGGAGCUUGCUCCUGGAUUCAGCGGCGGACGGGUGAGUAAUGCCUACGAAUCUGCCUGGUAGUGGGGGAUAACGUCCGGAAACGGGCGCUAAUACCGCAUACGUCCUGAGGGAGAAAGUGGGGGAUCUUCGGACCUCACGCUAUCAGAUGAGCCUAGUUCGGAUUAGCUAGUUGGUAGGGUAAAGGCCUACCAAGGCGACGAUCCGUAACUGGUCUGAGAGGAUGAUCAGUCACACUGGAACUGAGACACGGUCCAGACUCCUACGGGAGGCAGCAGUGGGGAAUAUUGGACAAUGGGCGAAAGCCUGAUCCAGCCAUGCCGCGUGUGUGAAGAAGGUCUUCGGAUUGUAAAGCACUUUAAGUUGGGAGGAAGGGCAGUAAGAUAAUACCUUGCUGUUUUGACGUUACCAACAGAAUAAGCACCGGCUAACUUCGUG
RNAcentral lists this ribosomal RNA (484 nucleotides) under uncultured bacterium. RNAcentral's name for it is "partial 16S ribosomal RNA". It matches the Rfam family "Bacterial small subunit ribosomal RNA", at positions 30 to 507 of the family's 1533-position model. The record is from RNAcentral.